This 823-nucleotide long non-coding RNA is filed under the name Homo sapiens (human). Its description in RNAcentral is "non-protein coding LINC01664:4". The record is from RNAcentral. Lineage: Eukaryota; Metazoa; Chordata; Mammalia; Primates; Hominidae.
GCGGGCAGCCGCCAGGGCGAGGCGACCCGGUGCGGGGGGACUCCCAUGGAGCGCGGACUCCUAAGGAAGUCGCUGGGAAUCCCACCGGCUGUACCGCAGGGCGUUAGUACCUAGAUGGCUUCGGUGCCCCCAAGCGAUGGGCUCAAGCUACAGGGCGGGCUUUGCACCUGGCCUUCUCAGCUCUGAGGCAGGCAGUGGGCAGCUUCGCCUCCACCCUCCGUCCAGCGCCCUUCCCAUGGGGCCAUCCGCCUCUCCCUAAGGCACUAAAAACCAGUGGAGGAGUCAGGCCAUGUUGGCAAAAAGGGCUCGGGCAGCAGCCCCAGACCUAUAGUCCUAAAUAUCCAUGUACCCAGCCCUGGGGUCGCGAGCCAUCUCAGGGACGACCCGAUUCCAGCGGAUGGAGAAGUUCCCUGAAAACACCUGCCUGGGAGGAGAGACGAGGGAACGAGAUUGGGUAACAGCUUGCAGCGUGAUAACACCAUGCAGUGUGAGGGAGCUGUAUGCAGUGGAGCCGCAGGGGUUAGUCAGGCCUCGCCCCUAAAUCUGCCUCUUAAAUAAGAGUCCGUUUCAGCCAAACCUGCCUUUUCCAGUUCCGUGGAGGUCAGUCUGCACAGCCAAUCCCUGACAGUGCUUUACCAUGGAACUGAAACCAUGAAAAGUGAAACUGCAAAUGGGAGAGACUGCUGUAUAGUCACUGAAAAAUUAAUGGAUGAGCUCAACAGCAAAUUAGACACAACUGAAACCUUGGACCCAUGUGUGGAAGAUGACAGCAUCACCAACUGGAGGGUGCCUGGAUCCCUGAGUCACCACUUGAAGCAAAAAG